Non-coding RNA from Macaca mulatta (Rhesus monkey), 706 nucleotides. Lineage: Eukaryota; Metazoa; Chordata; Mammalia; Primates; Cercopithecidae. The record is from RefSeq and is a predicted model, not a curated record.
GCUUUUCUUGACUCAGGUUCAUCCAAAUGUGCAGUGUUCAUCUGACUCGCUCAUCGCCAUGCAGUGGGGCUGCAUGGAUGAAGCUAACAUGUGCCGGGCCUCUUUUGGAAGCUGGUGUUCCCGUCAUGAAGACUCAGAGCCUUGCUUAAGACCAAAGGAGAGCUGGAUGGUAAAGACUCCCUCGAGAAUGGGCAAACGAGUUGCAGAUCAAGUAUCCUGGCCACGAAGACAAGGAGAGGAUCAGGCCUGAAGCUCCAGGCCUGGACACGCCCCGGAGGAGAAAUGAUCCUCGUGUAACCCCGGGACCACAUAGUGAAGAUGGUGGCAUUGCAAGACAGGAAGAGCUUGGGUUCCUGCAAGACUGCAAGAAGCAGUCCCCUCUUUUCCAUGACUAUCUUGGUCUGCGACAGGCUGCAAUGGUUUGAAGGUUUGUCCCCUCUAAAACUCAUGUUGAUAUUUAAUUGCCAUUGUGAUGGUAUUGGAAGGUGGGGCCUUAAGAGAGCUCUGCCCUCAUAAGUGGACUAAUACCAGUUAUCAGGAGUAGGCUCACUCACUUCCACUCUCUUUUUCUUGCUCUCACUCUUGUUAGCCCUUCUGCUUUCCACUAUGGGAUGAUAGAACAAGACGUCCCUCAUAAGAUACUGGCACCUUGAUCUUGGACUUCCCAGCCACUAAGCAACAAGCCAAUAAAACUCUGUUUUUAUUA